RNAcentral lists this ribosomal RNA (315 nucleotides) under uncultured bacterium. RNAcentral's name for it is "bacterial SSU rRNA". It matches the Rfam family "Bacterial small subunit ribosomal RNA", at positions 28 to 334 of the family's 1533-position model. The record is from RNAcentral.
GAUGAACGCUAGCUACAGGCUUAACACAUGCAAGUCGAGGGGCAGCAUGGUCUUAGCUUGCUAAGGCCGAUGGCGACCGGCGCACGGGUGAGUAACACGUAUCCAACCUGCCGUCUACUCUUGGACAGCCUUCUGAAAGGAAGAUUAAUACAAGAUGGCAUCAUGAGUCCACAUGUUCACAAGAUUAAAGAUUUAUCGGUAAGCGAUGGGGAUGCGUUCCAUUAGGCAGUUGGCGGGGUAACGGCCCACCAAACCUACGAUGGAUAGGGGUUCUGAGAGGAAGGUCCCCCACAUUGGAACUGAGACACGGUCCAA